Molecule: ribosomal RNA, 1041 nt
Filed under: Halomonas sp.
Lineage: Bacteria; Pseudomonadati; Pseudomonadota; Gammaproteobacteria; Oceanospirillales; Halomonadaceae
Also listed under: 1 other name
Description: partial 16S ribosomal RNA
Rfam family: Bacterial small subunit ribosomal RNA
Source: RNAcentral
UGCAAGUCGAGCGGUAAACAGAUCUAGCUUGCUAGAUGCUGACGAGCGGCGGACGGGUGAGUAAUGCAUAGGAAUUUACCCAGUAGUGGGGGAUAACGUGGGGAAACCCACGCUAAUACCGCAUACGUCCUACGGGAGAAAGGGGGCUCCGGCUCCCGCUAUUGGAUGAGCCUAUGUCGGAUUAGUUAGUUGGUGAGGUAACGGCUCACCAAGACCGCGAUCCGUAGCUGGUCUGAGAGGAUGAUCAGCCACAUCGGGACUGAGACACGGCCCGAACUCCUACGGGAGGCAGCAGUGGGGAAUAUUGGACAAUGGGCGCAAGCCUGAUCCAGCCAUGCCGCGUGUGUGAAGAAGGCCCUCGGGUUGUAAAGCACUUUCAGCGAGGAAGAACGCCUGUCGGUUAAUACCCGGCAGGAAAGACAUCACUCGCAGAAGAAGCACCGGCUAACUCCGUGCCAGCAGCCGCGGUAAUACGGAGGGUGCAAGCGUUAAUCGGAAUUACUGGGCGUAAAGCGCGCGUAGGUGGCUUGAUAAGCCGGUUGUGAAAGCCCCGGGCUCAACCUGGGAACGGCAUCCGGAACUGUCAAGCUAGAGUGCAGGAGAGGAAGGUGGAAUUCCCGGUGUAGCGGUGAAAUGCGUAGAGAUCGGGAGGAAUACCAGUGGCGAAGGCGGCCUUCUGGACUGACACUGACACUGAGGUGCGAAAGCGUGGGUAGCAAACAGGAUUAGAUACCCUGGUAGUCCACGCCGUAAACGAUGUCGACCAGCCGUUGGGUGCCUUGUGCACUUUGUGGCGAAGUUAACGCGAUAAGUCGACCGCCUGGGGAGUACGGCCGCAAGGUUAAAACUCAAAUGAAUUGACGGGGGCCCGCACAAGCGGUGGAGCAUGUGGUUUAAUUCGAUGCAACGCGAAGAACCUUACCUACCCUUGACAUCCUGCGAAUUUGGUAGAGAUCACUUAGUGCCUUCGGGAACGCAGAGACAGGUGCUGCAUGGCUGUCGUCAGCUCGUGUUGUGAAAUGUUGGGUUAAGUCCCGUAAC